CUCUCUCGACGCCACAUCUCUCUCGACGGCGCUUCUCUCUCAACGGUUCUCUUCUCGUUGAUUUUGAUCGCAGUCCAGAGGAUCUGUUGUUUCAUCCACAGCUUUUUCUGCGAUUCAAAGGUGAAUAAUCUACCUGUUUUGCUGAAGUUAAUAACUUCAUCGGGAGUAUCUUCGAUCCUGACAGCAAAGGCCGCAUGAAAAAGCUCAAGGAAAUGGAUCCUAUAAAUUUCGAAACUGUACUGAUAUUGAUGAGAAACCUCACAGUGAAUAUGUCAAAUCCUGAUUUCGAACCUUCUUCUGAUGUUGCAGAGGAAGGUUCAUAACACUUAAGCUCUUAGCUCUUGUAUGGGAUCUUUGGCCAAGAACCAAACAAGUGAUAUAUCUUUCUUGAUGGGCUUCUUGCUCACAACAACUGUGUAUAUCAACUGAUAUAUAUAUAUUUAUUUGUUCAUGCGUUUUGUAAUUUGUAGUUUUCUUUAUUGGUUAUUUCUUGUCAUAUAUUGAAACCAAAGGCAAUGUAUCAGCUAGCAAAUGCCACUAAAUUCAUAAAGAGACACAUGAGUCUGUUUGUAUCUUAUUAAAAGUCCUACCAAUAAUCAACUCUUUUGUGAUUGUCCUUAA
Long non-coding RNA from Brassica rapa (field mustard), 621 nucleotides. RefSeq lists it as uncharacterized. The record is from RefSeq and is a predicted model, not a curated record. Lineage: Eukaryota; Viridiplantae; Streptophyta; Magnoliopsida; Brassicales; Brassicaceae.